UACGGGAGGCAGCAGUGGGGAAUUGUUCGCAAUGGGCGCAAGCCUGACGACGCAACGCCGCGUGGAGGAUGAAGGUCUUCGGAUUGUAAACUCCUGUUGCCCGGGACGAAAUGCUUCGACCUAACACGUCGAAGUUUGACGGUACCGGGUGAGGAAGCCCCGGCUAACUCUGUGCCAGCAGCCGCGGUAAUACAGAGGGGGCAAGCGUUGUUCGGAAUUACUGGGCGUAAAGGGCGCGUAGGCGGCCUUCUAAGUCGAACGUGAAAUCCCCGGGCUCAACCCGGGAACUGCGUCCGAUACUGGAAGGCUUGAAUCCGGGAGAGGGAUGCGGAAUUCCAGGUGUAGCGGUGAAAUGCGUAGAUAUCUGGAGGAACACCGGUGGCGAAGGCGGCAUCCUGGACCGGCAUUGACGCUGAGGCGCGAAAGCCAGGGGAGCAAACGGGAUUAGAUACCCCGGUAGUCCUGGCCCUAAACGAUGAAUGCUUGGUGUGGCGGGUAUCGAUCCCUGCCGUGCCGAAGCUAACGCAUUAAGCAUUCCGCCUGGGGAGUACGGUCGCAAGGCUGAAACCCAAAGGAAUUGACGGGGGCCCGCACAAGCGGUGGAGCAUGUGGUUCAAUUCGACGCAACGCGAAGAACCUUACCCAGGCUUGAACUGCAGAUGACAUCCUACGAAAGUAGGCUUCCGCAAGGACAUCUGUAGAGGUGCUGCAUGGCUGUCGUCAGCUCGUGUCGUGAGAUGUUGGGUUAAGUCCCGCAACGAGCGCAACCCUUGUCUUCUGUUGCCAUCGGGUUAUGCCGGGCACUCUGAAGAGACUGCCGGUGACAAACCGGAGGAAGGUGGGGAUGACGUCAAGUCAGCAUGGCCUUUAUGUCUGGGGCCACACACGUGCUACAAUGGCCGGUGCAAACCGUCGCGAUCUCGCGAGAGGGAGCUAAUCGGAGAAAGCCGGUCUCAGUUCGGAUUGUAGGCUGCAACUCGCCUGCAUGAAGUU
Molecule: ribosomal RNA, 993 nt
Filed under: uncultured bacterium
Lineage: Bacteria
Description: bacterial SSU rRNA
Rfam family: Bacterial small subunit ribosomal RNA
Source: RNAcentral